Molecule: long non-coding RNA, 1147 nt
Organism: Myripristis murdjan (pinecone soldierfish)
Lineage: Eukaryota; Metazoa; Chordata; Actinopteri; Holocentriformes; Holocentridae
Exons: 3
Source: RefSeq, a predicted model, not a curated record
GCUCCAGUACAUCUGGCUCCCCUCGGCAUCCUCAUUCUUCAUCCGCCAACUGUUUUUACAUUUUUUCCUUUAUUGUAUACAUAUAUCUUUGUUAUUUUGGUUUCUGUGCUUACAACAUCUAUUGCAUGUCUGUCCGUCCUGGAUAAAAUUGAAUUGAACUGAAGACAGCAUUUAACAAGGUUUGCUUUCCUUCUUUUAGACUUCCCGUGUGAGGCGUUCUCCAAGAGGUGUUGCCACAAGACGCAGAGGAGGAAAGCGGCAGGUGCUGGCAACACCUUCACCUGCCCGUGUGACCGUGUCCGCCUCCGGGCCCAGACCAGCGGUGCAGCAGGUUUGUCUUUGUUUAAAUAUAUUAUGUGAGUUAUCAUUAUGUGAGGUAGCAGGGAAAUGGUUCUCCUGUUUUCAUAUUCAGUAAAACCUUGUUUUUGAUUUUUGUGGCAGGUGGAGGCGACAGCCCAGGAGUCGCCCAGCGUGGUGCCAGGAGUGGUCGUCAGUCGAGAGGAGGUCGCCGCAGCGUGCCCUGCCGUCCCGGAGGAGCGACAGAAGAUCAGCAAAGCUAAGGCUGUUUUUGUUCCUUCUGUUUGUGUUCAUGAUGUUCAGUUGGAGUGUAACGCUAAUGCUGUGGCAACAGAGUCUAGCAGAGAUAGCAGCAAGAUUAAGCUAGCGAAGGUUGUGCGCGGAUCAUUUCACCAGGGCGAUGCGCGAUUUGUGUAUGGAGGAGUGCAGUGUAUGGCUAUAGCUUUGGUCAGCUUAGCCAAACACACGGUGAGCAGCGCGUUCUUGUGGGACAGGCUGGAUUUGGAUCGCGCGUUGGUUGAAGGUGAUGAGUUGUACACCAGUUUGCGUGACCUCAACAUCUUCAGCCAUGUGUCUAAUCUGCUGUCUGUGCCAGAUUUGCCACAGCAGUUGGAAUUAGACGGACAGGUGUUUAGGUUCAGCUUUGGUGACACAGUGUUAGGUGAAGUAGGCGUUACCGAAGGUGAACACAUCGACUUCGGUGUGUUCAUCAGCUUGCGGAAUGGACUGGAGAGGAUCUUCAGUCAGUACACCACAUGUCUUUUGACAAUGUGUGGAAACACCACUGCCAUCGUGCGUGAGGAUGGACGGUUCGCUGUGGUCGACAGUCACUCACGCAGUCACACUGGCU